Molecule: ribosomal RNA, 425 nt
Filed under: uncultured bacterium
Lineage: Bacteria
Description: partial 16S ribosomal RNA
Rfam family: Bacterial small subunit ribosomal RNA
Source: RNAcentral
GUUAGGAAUAUUGGACAAUGGGCGCAAGCCUGAUCCAGCCAUGCCGCGUGAGUGAUGAAGGCCUUCGGGUUGUAAAGCUCUUUAGUCCACGAAUAUAAUGACUGUAGUGGAAGAAUAAGCCCCGUCUAACUUCGUGCCAGCAGCCGCGGUAAUACGAAGGGGGCGAGCGUUAUUCGGAAUCACUGGGCGUAAAGCGUGCGUAGGCUGUUUUGUAAGUCAGAAGUGAAAGCCCAGGGCUUAACCCUGGGAUUGCUUUUGAAACUACAAGACUCGAAUUCAGGAGAGGAUAGCGGAAUUGUCAGUGUAGCAGUGAAAUGCGUAGAUAUUGGCAGGAACACCAGUGGCGCAAGCGGCUAUCUGGACCGAUAUUGACGCUGAGGCACGAAAGCGUGGGGAGCAAACAGGAUUAGAAACCCGGGUAGUCC